This 429-nucleotide ribosomal RNA is filed under the name uncultured bacterium. RNAcentral describes it as "bacterial SSU rRNA". It matches the Rfam family "Bacterial small subunit ribosomal RNA", at positions 355 to 776 of the family's 1533-position model. The record is from RNAcentral.
UGGGGAAUAUUGGACAAUGGGCGCAAGCCUGAUCCAGCCAUGCCGCGUGUGUGAAGAAGGCCUUCGGGUUGUAAAGCACUUUUGUUGGGGAAGAAAUCCCGGGGAUUAAUACUUCCUGGAGCUGACGGUACCCAAAGAAUAAGCACCGGCUAACUUCGUGCCAGCAGCCGCGGUAAUACGAAGGGUGCAAGCGUUACUCGGAAUUACUGGGCGUAAAGCGUGCGUAGGCGGUUGGUUAAGUCUGCUGUGAAAGCCCUGGGCUCAACCUGGGAACUGCAGUGGAUACUGGCCAGCUAGAGUGUGUCAGAGGAUGGUGGAAUUCCCGGUGUAGCGGUGAAAUGCGUAGAGAUCGGGAGGAACACCAGUGGCGAAGGCGGCCAUCUGGGACAACACUGACGCUGAGGCACGAAAGCGUGGGGAGCAAACAGG